RNAcentral lists this ribosomal RNA (692 nucleotides) under bacterium. RNAcentral's name for it is "bacterial SSU rRNA". It matches the Rfam family "Bacterial small subunit ribosomal RNA", at positions 107 to 783 of the family's 1533-position model. The record is from RNAcentral.
UGAGUAACACGUGGGUAACCUACCCAUCAGAGGGGGAUAACACUUGGAAACAGGUGCUAAUACCGCAUAACAGUUUAUGCCGCAUGGCAUAAGAGUGAAAGGCGCUUUCGGGUGUCGCUGAUGGAUGGACCCGCGGUGCAUUAGCUAGUUGGUGAGGUAACGGCUCACCAAGGCCACGAUGCAUAGCCGACCUGAGAGGGUGAUCGGCCACACUGGGACUGAGACACGGCCCAGACUCCUACGGGAGGCAGCAGUAGGGAAUCUUCGGCAAUGGACGAAAGUCUGACCGAGCAACGCCGCGUGAGUGAAGAAGGUUUUCGGAUCGUAAAACUCUGUUGUUAGAGAAGAACAAGGACGUUAGUAACUGAACGUCCCCUGACGGUAUCUAACCAGAAAGCCACGGCUAACUACGUGCCAGCAGCCGCGGUAAUACGUAGGUGGCAAGCGUUGUCCGGAUUUAUUGGGCGUAAAGCGAGCGCAGGCGGUUUCUUAAGUCUGAUGUGAAAGCCCCCGGCUCAACCGGGGGAGGGUCAUUGGAAACUGGGAGACUUGAGUGCAGAAGAGGAGAGUGGAAUUCCAUGUGUAGCGGUGAAAUGCGUAGAUAUAUGGAGGAACACCAGUGGCCGAAGGCGGCUCUCUGGUCUGUAACUGACGCUGAGCUCGAAAGCGUGGGGGAGCAAACAGGAUUAGAU